UUCCACAGCUACUGGUCUGCAGCUGUUCUUAAUGGUAGCAGUUGUGACACUCCUCUGUGGGGAAAAAAAAAAACUGUCAUACAAUUAAAAGCCUCUUUCUUAGCUAAAUGGAAAGUAGGCAUAUGAAUGAUAGACACAA
RNAcentral lists this small nucleolar RNA (139 nucleotides) under Castor canadensis (American beaver). RNAcentral's name for it is "Small nucleolar RNA SNORA41 (ENSCCNG00000006675.1)". It matches the Rfam family "Small nucleolar RNA SNORA41". From Rfam's summary of the family: ACA41 is a member of the H/ACA class of snoRNA that guide the sites of modification of uridines to pseudouridines. Lineage: Eukaryota; Metazoa; Chordata; Mammalia; Rodentia; Castoridae. The record is from Rfam by way of RNAcentral.